RNAcentral lists this transfer RNA (89 nucleotides) under Penicillium griseofulvum. It matches the Rfam family "tRNA". Rfam says of the family: Transfer RNA (tRNA) molecules are approximately 80 nucleotides in length. Their secondary structure includes four short double-helical elements and three loops (D, anti-codon, and T loops). Further hydrogen bonds mediate the characteristic L-shaped molecular structure. tRNAs have two regions of fundamental functional importance: the anti-codon, which is responsible for specific mRNA codon recognition, and the 3' end, to which the tRNAs corresponding amino acid is attached (by aminoacyl-tRNA synthetases). tRNAs cope with the degeneracy of the genetic code in two manners: having more than one tRNA (with a specific anti-codon) for a particular amino acid; and 'wobble' base-pairing, i.e. permitting non-standard base-pairing at the 3rd anti-codon position. The record is from Rfam by way of RNAcentral. Lineage: Eukaryota; Fungi; Ascomycota; Eurotiomycetes; Eurotiales; Aspergillaceae.
GGUCUUAUGGUCUAGCGGUUAUGACUGUGGAUUUUGAUAUCUUAUUGGAAAUCUUUCCACCAACCCCGGUUCGAACCCGGGUAAGACCU